UACGUAGGGUGCAGGCGUUAAUCGGAAUUACUGGGCGUAAAGCGUGCGCAGGCGGUUUCUUAAGUCAGAUGUGAAAGCCCCGGGCUUAACCUGGGAACUGCGUUUGAAACUGGGAGACUUGAGUGUGGCAGAGGGGGGUGGAAUUCCACGUGUAGCAGUGAAAUGCGUAGAUAUGUGGAGGAACACCGGUGGCGAAGGCGGCUUUCUGGACAGAUACCGACGCUGAGGCACGAAAGCUAGGGGAGCAAACAGG
RNAcentral lists this ribosomal RNA (253 nucleotides) under uncultured bacterium. RNAcentral describes it as "partial 16S ribosomal RNA". It matches the Rfam family "Bacterial small subunit ribosomal RNA", at positions 524 to 776 of the family's 1533-position model. The record is from RNAcentral.